UAGGGAAUCUUCCGCAAUGGACGAAAGUCUGACGGAGCAACGCCGCGUGAACGAAGAAGGUUUUCGGAUCGUAAAGUUCUGUUGUUAGGGAAGAACAAGUACCGUUUGAAUAAGGCGGUACCUUGACGGUACCUAUCGAGGAAGCCCCGGCUAACUACGUGCCAGCAGCCGCGGUAAUACGUAGGGGGCAAGCGUUGUCCGGAAUUAUUGGGCGUAAAGCGCGCGUAGGCGGUUUCUUAAGUCUGAUGUGAAAUCUUGCGGCUCAACCGCAAGCGGUCAUUGGAAACUGGGGAACUUGAGUGCAGAAGAGGAGAGUGGAAUUCCACGUGUAGCGGUGAAAUGCGUAGAGAUGUGGAGGAACACCAGUGGCGAAGGCGACUCUCUGGUCUGUAACUGACGC
RNAcentral lists this ribosomal RNA (400 nucleotides) under uncultured bacterium. Its description in RNAcentral is "bacterial SSU rRNA". It matches the Rfam family "Bacterial small subunit ribosomal RNA", at positions 355 to 746 of the family's 1533-position model. The record is from RNAcentral.